This 429-nucleotide ribosomal RNA is filed under the name Chloroflexota bacterium. Its description in RNAcentral is "Chloroflexi bacterium partial 16S ribosomal RNA". It matches the Rfam family "Bacterial small subunit ribosomal RNA", at positions 355 to 776 of the family's 1533-position model. Lineage: Bacteria; Bacillati; Chloroflexota. The record is from RNAcentral.
UGGGGAAUAUUGCACAAUGGGCGCAAGCCUGAUGCAGCCAUGCCGCGUGUAUGAAGAAGGCCUUCGGGUUGUAAAGUACUUUCAGCGGGGAGGAAGGGAGUAAAGUUAAUACCUUUGCUCAUUGACGUUACCCGCAGAAGAAGCACCGGCUAACUCCGUGCCAGCAGCCGCGGUAAUACGGAGGGUGCAAGCGUUAAUCGGAAUUACUGGGCGUAAAGCGCACGCAGGCGGUUUGUUAAGUCAGAUGUGAAAUCCCCGGGCUCAACCUGGGAACUGCAUCGGAUACUGGCAAGCUUGAGUCUCGUAGAGGGGGGUAGAAUUCCAGGUGUAGCGGUGAAAUGCGUAGAGGUCUGGUGGAAUACCGGUGGCGAAGGCGGCCCCCUGGACGAAGACUGACGAUCAGGUGCGAAAGCGUGGGGAGCAAACAGG